GUAGGGUUGAACCUGCGGAGGGACAUUA
Molecule: ribosomal RNA, 28 nt
Filed under: Alternaria sp. 118
Lineage: Eukaryota; Fungi; Ascomycota; Dothideomycetes; Pleosporales; Pleosporaceae
Description: partial 18S ribosomal RNA
Source: RNAcentral